This 84-nucleotide transfer RNA is filed under the name Phycisphaerae bacterium. RNAcentral describes it as "tRNA-Leu". It matches the Rfam family "tRNA". Rfam says of the family: Transfer RNA (tRNA) molecules are approximately 80 nucleotides in length. The record is from RNAcentral. RNAcentral also lists the same sequence under 1 other name. Lineage: Bacteria; Pseudomonadati; Planctomycetota; Phycisphaerae.
GCCCGGGUGGCGGAAUAGGCAGACGCGCUAGCUUGAGGGGCUAGUCCACUCACGUGGGUGCUGGUUCGACUCCAGUCCCGGGCA